GCGAUCAUACCAGCCCUAAUGCACUGGAUCCCAUCAGAACUCCGAAGUUAAGCGUGCUUGUGCUUGUGCUAGAGUAGUACUAGGAUGGGUGACCCCUCGGAAGUCCUCGUGUUGCACCCC
RNAcentral lists this ribosomal RNA (120 nucleotides) under Salvia splendens (bonfire salvia). The record is from RNAcentral. Lineage: Eukaryota; Viridiplantae; Streptophyta; Magnoliopsida; Lamiales; Lamiaceae.